This 253-nucleotide ribosomal RNA is filed under the name uncultured bacterium. Its description in RNAcentral is "partial 16S ribosomal RNA". It matches the Rfam family "Bacterial small subunit ribosomal RNA", at positions 524 to 776 of the family's 1533-position model. The record is from RNAcentral.
UACAGAGGUCCCAAGCGUUGUUCGGAUUCACUGGGCGUAAAGGGUGCGUAGGCGGUUGGGUAAGUCUGUCGUGAAAUCUCCGAGCCUAACUCGGAACCUGCGUCGGAUACUAUUCAACUCGAGGAAUGGAGGGGAGACUGGAAUUCUCGGUGUAGCAGUGAAAUGCGUAGAUAUCAAGUGGAACACCAGUGGCGAAGGCGAGUCCCUGGACAACUCCUGACACUGAGGCACGAAAGCUAGGGGAGCAAACAGG